GCUUAUGGCCAUAUCAGCCUGGGUACGCGCCUGAUCUCGGAAGCUAAGCAGGGUCGGGCCUGGUUAGUACUUGGAUGGGAGACCGCCUGGGAAUACCAGGUGCUGUAAGCA
RNAcentral lists this ribosomal RNA (111 nucleotides) under Salmo salar (Atlantic salmon). Lineage: Eukaryota; Metazoa; Chordata; Actinopteri; Salmoniformes; Salmonidae. The record is from RNAcentral.